This 449-nucleotide ribosomal RNA is filed under the name uncultured bacterium. Its description in RNAcentral is "bacterial SSU rRNA". It matches the Rfam family "Bacterial small subunit ribosomal RNA", at positions 29 to 506 of the family's 1533-position model. The record is from RNAcentral.
AUGAAUGCUGGCGGCGUGCCUAACACAUGCAAGUCGAGCGGCAGCGCGAGUAGUUUACUACUUGGCGGCGAGCGGCGGACGGCUGAGUAACGCGUGGGAACAUACCCCAAAGUGAGGGAUAACCGCCCGAAAGGGUGGCUAAUACCGCAUAUGAUCUUCGGAUUAAAGGAUUUAUCCGCUUUGGGAAUGGCCUGCGUACGAUUAGAUAGUUGGUGAGGUAAAGGCUCACCAAGUCGACGAUCGUUAACUGGUCUGAGAGGAUGAUCAGUCAGACUGGAACUGAGACACGGUCCAGACUCCUACGGGAGGCAGCAGUGAGGAAUCUUCCACAAUGGGCGAAAGCCUGAUGGAGCAACGCCGCGUGCAGGAUGAAGGCCUUCGGGUCGUAAACUGCUUUUAUAAGUGAAGAAUAUGACGGUAGCUUAUGAAUAAGCACCGGCUAACUACGU